GAUGAAGAACGCAGCGAAAUGCGAUACGUAAUGUGAAUUGCAGAAUUCCGUGAAUCAUCGAAUCUUUGAACGCACAUUGCGCCCCCUGGUAUUCCGGGGGGCAUGCCUGUCCGAGCGUCAUUACAACCCUCAAGCUCAGCUUGGUGUUGGGCCCCGCCGCCCCGGCGGGCCCUAAAGUCAGUGGCGGUGCCGUCCGGCUCCGAGCGUAGUAAUUCUUCUCGCUCUGGAGGUCCGGUCGUGUGCUCGCCAGCAACCCCCAAUUUUUUUCAGGUUGACCUCGGAUCAGGUAGGGAUACCCGCUGAACUUAAGCAUAUCAAUAAGCGGAGGA
Molecule: unclassified non-coding RNA, 329 nt
Filed under: soil metagenome
Description: partial contains 5.8S ribosomal RNA, internal transcribed spacer 2, and large subunit ribosomal RNA
Rfam family: 5.8S ribosomal RNA (bases 1-120)
Source: RNAcentral